CCUACGGGAGGCUGCAGUGGGGAAUAUUGCACAAUGGGGGAAACCCUGAUGCAGCGACGCCGCGUGAGUGAAGAAGUAUUUCGGUAUGUAAAGCUCUAUCAGCAGGGAAGCAAUAAAGUCCUUCGGACUUUGGACGGUACCUGACUAAGAAGACCCAGCUAACUACGUGCCAGCAGCCGCGGUAAUACGUAGGGGGCAAGGGUUAUCCGGAUUUACUGGGUGUAAAGGGAGCGUAGACGGCAGCGCAAGUCUGGAGUGAAAUCCCAGGGCUUAACCAUGGAACUGCUUUGGAAACUGUGCAGCUGGAGUGCAGGAGAGGUAAGCGGAAUUCCUAGUGUAGCGGUGAAAUGCGUAGAUAUUAGGAGGAACACCAGGGGCGAAGGCGGCUUACUGGACUGUAACUGACGUUGAGGCUCGAAAGCGUGGGGAGCGAACAGGAUUAGAUACCCGAGUAGUC
This 457-nucleotide ribosomal RNA is filed under the name uncultured bacterium. RNAcentral's name for it is "partial 16S ribosomal RNA". It matches the Rfam family "Bacterial small subunit ribosomal RNA", at positions 338 to 795 of the family's 1533-position model. The record is from RNAcentral.